This 867-nucleotide ribosomal RNA is filed under the name Triticum aestivum (bread wheat). Its description in RNAcentral is "partial small subunit ribosomal RNA". The record is from RNAcentral. Lineage: Eukaryota; Viridiplantae; Streptophyta; Magnoliopsida; Poales; Poaceae.
AUGUACAAUAAUGUUGUGACAAGUGUUCGAACAAGUGAUGUCGACACCGAUGACUUCCCGAUUAAGAUAGGACUGCAUCAGGGGUCAGCUUUGAGCCCUUAUCUUUUUGCAUUGGUGAUGGAUGAGGUCACAAGGGGUAUACAAGGAGAUAUCCCAUGGUGUAUGCUCUUUGCGGAUGAUGUGGUGCUAGUUGACGAUAGUCGGACGGGGGUAAAUAGGAAGUUAGAGUUAUGGAGACAAACCUUGGAAUCGAAAGGGUUUAGGCUUAGUAGAACUAAAACCGAGUACAUGAUGUGCGGUUUCAGUACUACUAGCUGUGAGGAGGAGGAGGUUAGCCUUGAUGGCCAGGUGGUACCUCGGAAGGACACCUUUCGGUAUUUGGGGUCAAUGUUGCAGGAGGAUGGGGGUAUUGAUGAAGAUGUGAACCAUCGAAUCAAAGCCGGAUGGAUGAAGUGGCGCCAAGCUUCUGGCAUUCUCUGUGACAAGAGAGUGCCACAAAAGUUAAAAGGCAAGUUCUACAGGACGGCGGUUCGACCCGCAAUGUUGUAUGGUGCGGAGUGUUGGCCAGCUAAAAGGCGACAUGUUCAACAGUUAGGUGUGGCGGAGAUGCGUAUGUUGAGAUGGAUGUGUGGCCACACGAGGAAGGAUCGAGUCCGGAAUGAUGAUAUACGAGAUAGAGUUGGGGUAGCACCAAUUGAGGAGAAGCUUGUCCAACAUCGUUUGAGAUGGUUUGGGCAUAUUCAGCGCAGGCCUCCAGAAGCUCCAGUGCAUAGCGGACGGCUAAAGCGUGCGGAGAAUGUCAAGAGAGGGCGGGGUCGACCGAUUUUGACAUGGGAGGCGUCCGUUAAGAGAGACCUGAAGGAUUGA